This is a long non-coding RNA of Nicotiana attenuata, 402 nucleotides long. RefSeq lists it as uncharacterized. The transcript has 4 exons. The record is from RefSeq and is a predicted model, not a curated record. NCBI's taxonomy places the organism in Eukaryota, Viridiplantae, Streptophyta, Magnoliopsida, Solanales, Solanaceae.
UGGUGACGGUGAUGAGUAUGUACAACUAGCUACGGACCAUAUAAUUGAUGAUGUAGUAGAGACAAUUGUUGCUACUAACUUAGCAGCAGAUACAUACAUGUGUGAAUAGAAAAUUUAUUUAAUAUGUUGCUUUAUCUGAAGGGUGCCUUUGUGCUUUAUCGCCUGUUUGAGAAGAAUGAUUUGAAGCAGGAUGAGCAUAUUGAGCGUUAAAUUUUGAUGAUGCUGAACUGAAUGCUACAGUUGCUGAUUUGGAUUGAUGCAGGGGCUUUCUACCUAUGUGCGGAUGAUGCUCUCAACACAAGCUCUUCUAAGUGCUAUAGGUGUUGGUGAGAAAUCCCCUACUGUUUUUGGGGCAACGUUUCAGUGGUUCUUGCGAGAUUUAACUGGUAUGGUUGGAGGCGU